UAUAUAUAUAUAUGUAGUAGAAGUAUAAUGGCACUCACCCUUACUGCUAUGAUAAAAAUCUCUUGCCCUGGUGCUAUCCCACGCUGGGAUAUGUAGUAUAUCAAUAAUAAGGAUGCACUCUCCGGUCUUUUUUAAAUAUUCCAAGUGGUAUUUAUUCCGUCACAUAUUAUGACAAAUUGAUCAACGUUUCGACCCGUUCGGGUCUUCCUCAGGAUCAAGUGUAUAUUACAAAACAGGGUUUAUAUAGGAUAAGUGUAAAUUGUACUCACCAAUAGUGACUGUAUCCCGCCUAUCCCC
Pelobates cultripes (western spadefoot toad) is the source of this 297-nucleotide non-coding RNA. The record is from the annotation of a GenBank genome assembly. NCBI's taxonomy places the organism in Eukaryota, Metazoa, Chordata, Amphibia, Anura, Pelobatidae.